RNAcentral lists this long non-coding RNA (200 nucleotides) under Elaeis guineensis (African oil palm). Its description in RNAcentral is "long non-coding RNA (EGUI_LNC063726)". Lineage: Eukaryota; Viridiplantae; Streptophyta; Magnoliopsida; Arecales; Arecaceae. The record is from RNAcentral.
GAACUAGCUUGAGCGUCAGAGGGUCUUACCGGAGCAACCCCACCUCCGGUUUAGACUUCUUUUGUAGGUCCCAGCGGCGACCGCAACUCCAGCUUCUCCGACGUAAGCGGAUUUUUGCACCAACAAGAUUUUUCAAAAAGAUCAGAGUAGCGCAGACGGGAAGGUGGAGAUCUAUAAAGCCCGUUUCGCUAUUAUCAUAG